Sinocyclocheilus anshuiensis is the source of this 255-nucleotide long non-coding RNA. RefSeq lists it as uncharacterized. The transcript is spliced from 3 exons. The record is from RefSeq and is a predicted model, not a curated record. NCBI's taxonomy places the organism in Eukaryota, Metazoa, Chordata, Actinopteri, Cypriniformes, Cyprinidae.
GCCGUGGCGUUUGGGAUCUUGGGAUUGUUCGUGCUUCUCUGUUUGGUGCAGAUCUGCAUCAAGAAAAUCAAAUGUUGCAACCGCAAAAAUCCUUCGGUGAAAGACAAAAUUUUAACGAAAGUUGGGAUUAAGAAAUCUUCACCUCUAUUUUCAAUCAGCAGAAUUGUUGACAAGAAAUAACGGCCGUCACUGCUCCUAUGUCAUUCUCACUGCCUAUACAUAGUGUACAUACACCCUGACAUAAUCUAAUUUAGU